ACCUGGCGGCGAGUGGCGAACGGGUGAGUAAUAUAUCGGAACGUACCCAAGAGUGGGGGAUAACGUAGCGAAAGUUACGCUAAUACCGCAUACGAUCUAAGGAUGAAAGCAGGGGACCUUCGGGCCUUGUGCUCCUGGAGCGGCCGAUAUCUGAUUAGCUAGUUGGUGGGGUAAAGGCCCACCAAGGCAUCGAUCAGUAGCUGGUCUGAGAGGACGACCAGCCACACUGGAACUGAGACACGGUCCAGACUCCUACGGGAGGCAGCAGUGGGGAAUUUUGGACAAUGGGCGCAAGCCUGAUCCAGCAAUGCCGCGUGAGUGAAGAAGGCCUUCGGGUUGUAAAGCUCUUUUGUCAGGGAAGAAACGGUGAAGGCUAAUAUCCUUUGCUAAUGACGGUACCUGAAGAAUAAGCACCGGCUAACUACGUGCCAGCAGCCGCGGUAAUACGUAGGGUGCAAGCGUUAAUCGGAAUUACUGGGCGUAAAGCGUGCGCAGGCGGUUUUGUAAGUUUGUCGUGAAAUCCCCGGGCUCAACCUGGGAAUGGCGAUGAAGACUGCAAGGCUAGAGUUUGGCAGAGGGGGGUAGAAUUCCACGUGUAGCA
This 601-nucleotide ribosomal RNA is filed under the name uncultured bacterium. RNAcentral's name for it is "bacterial SSU rRNA". It matches the Rfam family "Bacterial small subunit ribosomal RNA", at positions 83 to 680 of the family's 1533-position model. The record is from RNAcentral.